AAAUCUGCAGGCAAGAACGGAGUAGUAUAUUUAUCUCAUUGUGUGGAGGACGAAGCCUCUGGGACUUCCGACUAUAGUUUCACUGUUAAAUCUCCCAAAGUUUAGAACACAAAGACCCCUGAACGCUGGCCAGCCCACCCUGCAGAUGGCCGGAGGAUCAGAGGCUGUCAGCACGCUUAAACGAGCCAAGAGUCGAGGCUUCAGCCCUGCGGGGGAGGACAGAGCAUGAAUGGGGUAUUUCCACCAAACUCUAUAGCCCCCCACUGGGCAUUUGUAAAAUGAUUUGUGGCAAAUUUGUUUAAUCAAUAUGGAUGUGGGGGUUUGGAUACCCUCCUCGGACAGAAGUCUUUCUUGCCCCCUCCUUUCUUUUUUUUUUUCUUGCUUGUAAAUGCAUCAGUGGUCACUGUGUAAUAAGAAAACCCAGGGCUAACUUUUGUUUCUCUCUGUGUGUGACUGUGAGUGCAACACUAAGAGGAUACAUACCUGACAGGAGGAGAGACGUUAUUGAUCAGCGGAAGACUUGCCAAACAGCACAGGGAUUCAAACAAGUCAUACAAGUUUGGACACUUCAUAAUAAAGACUUGCUCUUUACAUCUA
Molecule: long non-coding RNA, 597 nt
Organism: Seriola aureovittata
Lineage: Eukaryota; Metazoa; Chordata; Actinopteri; Carangiformes; Carangidae
Exons: 2
Source: RefSeq, a predicted model, not a curated record